This is a long non-coding RNA of Marmota monax (woodchuck), 728 nucleotides long. RefSeq lists it as uncharacterized. The transcript is spliced from 2 exons. The record is from RefSeq and is a predicted model, not a curated record. Lineage: Eukaryota; Metazoa; Chordata; Mammalia; Rodentia; Sciuridae.
CUUGUAAUUGCAUUGUGGGUAUCAUGCACCAAACCCAAUCCAAUGUGUUGCAGAGACCAAUGAGAGAGGGCAACUGGGACAGGGAGCUGUAGGGCCAGUUGCUGCCCCUGCUUAAUCCCCAAGGUGGAAACAGGCAAUGAGAAGAACCUGGGCCUCACACUCUAGGACUGGUAUUCUCCAUGAGCCAAACAAAGAGGGCUAAUUGACAUUCUUGGAAACCAGGAGUGCCAGGACACAUCUGAUGGGAGUGGCCUUCCCAAGCUGUUGGCAAUCUACCUGGUCCAUCCAGCCACUGUAAUGGCCAAAUGUCUGCAAGCUCACAGCACCUGCUGCCACUCUGAUCAAGCCUCCUACAGAAGUGUCUUGCCCUCAUGGGGCCCAAGCUUUGCUUCAAACUCCCACCGAUCUGAUACGGCCUCACCUGGAUCAUUUCCAGGGACCUACCAGCUGUACAGCCUCUUUGACUCCAUGGAUUGAGAGGGCCUCCUGCGUCAGGAGGUGGAGAAUCCGGUUGCUGUGUGCAGCCUCCUUCCCUCCUUUGAGUAAUAAGCCAUUACCACUUGCAAUAGCCAAGGCUGCCACCUGCAGACCAGAGGGGAGAGCAGGGGAUCAAAGGGAAAAAAAACAAGAGUGACAGUAAUGUUAACAUAUUUUGGAGCACUUCAUUUCGGAGCUAUGCUCUCAUUUUCACAUCUGAGCGAAUUAAAUACCUGUUUUAUGUCACAUUA